This 391-nucleotide unclassified non-coding RNA is filed under the name soil metagenome. Its description in RNAcentral is "partial contains 5.8S ribosomal RNA, internal transcribed spacer 2, and large subunit ribosomal RNA". The stretch from base 1 to 122 matches the Rfam family "5.8S ribosomal RNA", at positions 35 to 154 of the family's 154-position model. The record is from RNAcentral.
GAUGAAGAACGCAGCGAAAUGCGAUACUUGGUGUGAAUUGCAGAAUCCCGUGAACCAUCGAGUCUUUGAACGCAAGUUGCGCCCGAAGCCAUUAGGCCGAGGGCACGCCUGCAUGGGCGUCACACGUCGUUGCCCCCCCAUCUACUCCUUCGGGAUUGCGGGGGGCGGAUGAUGGCCUCCCGUGCGCCUCGUCGCGCGGUUGGCAUAAAUGCCAAGUCCUCGGCGACGCACGCCACGACAAUCGGUGGUUGCGAAACCUCGGUUGCCCGUCGUGUGCGGUCGUCGCGCAUCGAGGGCUCGAAAAAAUUGCCGGGCUCCGGCUCGGCUUUCAACGCGACCCCAGGUCAGGCGGGGUUACCCGCUGAAUUUAAGCAUAUCAAUAAGCGGAGGA